AGUGGCGGACGAGUGAGUAACGCGUGGGUAACCUGCCUUAUACAGGGGGAUAACAACCAGAAAUGGUUGCUAAUACCGCAUAAGCGCACAGGACCGCAUGGUCCGGUGUGAAAAACUCCGGUGGUAUAAGAUGGACCCGCGUUGGAUUAGCUAGUUGGCAGGGUAACGGCCUACCAAGGCGACGAUCCAUAGCCGGCCUGAGAGGGUGAACGGCCACAUUGGGACUGAGACACGGCCCAGACUCCUACGGGAGGCAGCAUG
RNAcentral lists this ribosomal RNA (261 nucleotides) under uncultured bacterium. Its description in RNAcentral is "partial 16S ribosomal RNA". It matches the Rfam family "Bacterial small subunit ribosomal RNA", at positions 94 to 353 of the family's 1533-position model. The record is from RNAcentral.